GAGUGUAUAUGUGGGGAGGGAGAGAAACAGAGACAGUGACAGGGAGAUAGAGAGACAGAGAGACAGGAAAUGAUCUCAUGAACUUCCCUGAACUCCUUUGCGUGAGGUCACAAUGCCUUUCAUAUUCAUGGUAACUGUCUCCUAGGUGAAAGGAGGCCAGGGAAGAUGGUCAGCAAGACCUCCUAAGACCUCCUACUUUUAGUCAAAGACCAAGGAAGCAGAGCAGCUACUACAGGCCACAAUAACUUCACAGGAGCUAAGGGAAUCAGGUAAGAGAAUGCCACAUCUGCUUACAGUAUAACAAAAUCGAAAGAGUGCUGAAGAAAAUGGGAAGAAAAAAAUGU
RNAcentral lists this long non-coding RNA (344 nucleotides) under Rattus norvegicus (Norway rat). Its description in RNAcentral is "long non-coding RNA NONRATT033871". Lineage: Eukaryota; Metazoa; Chordata; Mammalia; Rodentia; Muridae. The record is from RNAcentral.